CAUGCAAGUCGAGGGGCAGCAUGAAUAUUGGCUUGCCAAUAUUUGAUGGCGACCGGCGCACGGGUGAGUAACACGUAUCCAACCUUCCGGUUACUCGGGGAUAGGCUUUCGAAAGAAAGAUUAAUACCCGAUGUUGUGUAUCUUUCUCCUGAAAGAUACGCCAAAGGAUUCCGGUAACCGAUGGGGAUGCGUUCCAUUAGGCAGUUGGCGGGGUAACGGCCCACCAAACCUUCGAUGGAUAGGGGUUCUGAGAGGAAGGUCCCCCACAUUGGAACUGAGACACGGUCCAAACUCCUACGGGAGGCAGCAGUGAGGAAUAUUGGUCAAUGGACGGAAGUCUGAACCAGCCAAGUAGCGUGAAGGAUGACUGCCCUCUGGGUUGUAAACUUCUUUUAUACGGGAAUAACAUGAGGUACGCGUACCUUAUUGCAUGUACCGUUAUGAAUAAGCAUCGGCUAACUCCGUGCCAGCAGCCGCGGUAAUACGGAGGAUGCGAGCGUUAUCCGGAUUUAUUGGGUUAAAAGGGAGCGUAGGUGGGAUAUUAAGUCAGCUGUGAAAGUUUGGGGCUCAACCUUAAAAAUUGCAGUUGAUACUGGUUUCCUUGAGUACGGUACAGGUGGGCGGAAUUCGUGGUGUAGCGGUGAAAUGCUUAGAUAUCACGAAGAACUCCGAUCGCGAAGGCAGCUCACCGGGCCGGAACUGACACUGAUGCUCGAAAGUGCGGGUAUCAAACAGGAUUAGAUACCCUGGUAGUCCGCACAGUAAACGAUGAAUACUCGCUGUUUGCGAUACACAGUAAGCGGCCAAGCGAAAGCGUUAAGUAUUCCACCUGGGGAGUACGCCGGCAACGGUGAAACUCAAAGGAAUUGACGGGGGCCCCCACAAGCGGAGGAACAUGUGGUUUAAUUCGAUGAUACGCGAGGAACCUUACCCGGGCUUAAAUUGCGCUGGCUUUUACCGGAAACGGUAUUUUCUUCGGACCAGCGUGAAGGUGCUGCAUGGUUGUCGUCAGCUCGUGCCGUGAGGUGUCGGCUUAAGUGCCAUAACGAGCGCAACCCUUAUCUUUAGUUACUAACAGUUUUGCUGAGGACUCUAAAGAGACUGCCGUCGUAAGAUGCGAGGAAGGUGGGGAUGACGUCAAAUCAGCACGGCCCUUACGUCCGGGGCUACACACGUGUUACAAUGGGGAGCACAGCAGGUUGCUACACGGCGACGUGAUGCCAAUCCGUAAAACUCCUCUCAGUUCGGAUCGAAGUCUGCAACCCGACUUCGUGAAGCUGGAUUCGCUAGUAAUCGCGCAUCAGCCACGGCGCGGUGAAUACGUUCCCGGGCCUUGUACACACCGCCCGUCAAGCCAUGAAAGCCGGGGGUACCUGAAGUACGUAACCCGCGAGGA
RNAcentral lists this ribosomal RNA (1396 nucleotides) under bacterium NLAE-zl-P512. RNAcentral describes it as "16S ribosomal RNA". It matches the Rfam family "Bacterial small subunit ribosomal RNA". The record is from RNAcentral.